GGAAUCUAAAGAUAUAUAAUAGCCAUAGCCCUCCUAUAUAUGAUGGUACGUAUUGAACAAAAAAACAGAGUAGAUCAUCACACACGAUCACACGCAUAUGAAAAGCCCAACAUAUCCUAAAGUGCAACUAUUCUAAAUUCAGCAGCACAAAGACACUGAGAUACCAAUAUUUGGACCUAAGGGCUCACAUAUUUUGUGGGAGCAAAACAAAACCAUAGAAGCAACACAAGUCCAUUAGUCUAGCGACCUAUGAUCUGCAGCAAAUUCAUGAAGAAGACUACACGUACCCACUUUGAGUGAACAUGAUGAGCUUCCUACUCUUGCAUGAUUCAUCCAUGAAUGUGAAUGGAUAUUUAGGGUGACUUGUGAUUGUGUAGUCUUGUCUGUAUUACCAUUUUUUACCAUCUCCUCCAGUACAGACUACAGAGUUUGCUGCCACUAGCUAGGGUGCGGAGCCGAAGUUGUUGUCUUGCAGCGCUCCCAUGUAAUUCUCAUAAACCAAAUAUUUAAAGCCAACUUGUCAUCAUACCACUUUAAUUAAGGCUAUCUAGCUAACAUCUCUAGUUAUCUGGAGCAAAACUUUUGCUCCAAUUUCUGGACUAUUAACUAAUGUCGAUGCAUGAACUUAUACCCAGCAGCUUCUUAUGUACUAAGUUCAGUUCUCUUCGUCGAUUUCUAUGUCAGCAAGCACCAGGAAAAUAGAAGACCAGAACCCAAGGAGAGAGAAUGAACAAAAAAGGCAGCCCUUAAUUAAG
RNAcentral lists this long non-coding RNA (755 nucleotides) under Populus trichocarpa (black cottonwood). Its description in RNAcentral is "long non-coding RNA (PTRI_LNC001826)". The record is from RNAcentral. Lineage: Eukaryota; Viridiplantae; Streptophyta; Magnoliopsida; Malpighiales; Salicaceae.